AAACAUGUCUCUUUGAUUAUAUUUAUAUAAAGAGUUUGACCUGCCCAGUGAUAGAAUUUAACGGCCGCAGUACUCUGACUGUGCAAAGGUAGCAUAAUAAUUUGCCUUAUAAUUGAUGGCUAGUAUGAACGGUUUGACGAAAACAUUUCUGUCUCAAAUAUAUUUUUUAUAAUUUAUCUUUUAGGUUAAAAGACCUAAAUAAAACAAAAGGACGAGAAGACCCUAUUGAGCUUUAAAAAAAUUCUAGUAAAAAGAAUAUUAUUAAGAUUUCUUUUACUAAAAGUUUUUUUGGUUGGGGCGACCUAGGAACAAGUAAAGCUUCCUUAAAUAAAUAAAUAAUUCUGCGAAUGAUCCAACAUAAUGUUGAUAAAUGGAAUUAGUUACCGUAGGGAUAACAGCGUUAUUUUUUCUAAGAGAUCUUAUCAAGGAGAAAGUUUGCGACCUCGAUGUUGGAUUGAGAUAACUUAAAGGUGCAGAAGCUUUUAUAAGUUAGUCUGUUCGACUAUAAAAAUCUCACAUGAU
RNAcentral lists this ribosomal RNA (522 nucleotides) under Cochlostoma agriotes. RNAcentral describes it as "partial 16S ribosomal RNA". It matches the Rfam family "Bacterial large subunit ribosomal RNA", at positions 1811 to 2604 of the family's 2925-position model. The record is from RNAcentral. Lineage: Eukaryota; Metazoa; Mollusca; Gastropoda; Architaenioglossa; Cochlostomatidae.